RNAcentral lists this ribosomal RNA (401 nucleotides) under uncultured bacterium. Its description in RNAcentral is "bacterial SSU rRNA". It matches the Rfam family "Bacterial small subunit ribosomal RNA", at positions 975 to 1375 of the family's 1533-position model. The record is from RNAcentral.
CAGGUCUUGACAUCCCACUGACCGGCUUAGAGAUAGGCUUUUCCCUUCGGGGACAGUGGUGACAGGUGGUGCAUGGUUGUCGUCAGCUCGUGUCGUGAGAUGUUGGGUUAAGUCCCGCAACGAGCGCAACCCUUGAUCUUAGUUGCCAGCAUUCAGUUGGGCACUCUAAGGUGACUGCCGGUGAUAAACCGGAGGAAGGUGGGGAUGACGUCAAAUCAUCAUGCCCCUUAUGACCUGGGCUACACACGUGCUACAAUGGACGAUACAAAGGGCUGCAAACCCGCGAGGGGGAGCCAAUCCCAUAAAAUCGUUCUCAGUUCGGAUUGUAGGCUGCAACUCGCCUACAUGAAGCCGGAAUCGCUAGUAAUCGUGGAUCAGCAUGCCACGGUGAAUACGUUCCC